UACGGAAGGCAGCAGUGGGGAAUAUUGCACAAUGGGCGCAAGCCUGAUGCAGCCAUGCCGCGUGUAUGAAGAAGGCCUUCGGGUUGUAAAGUACUUUCAGCGGGGAGGAAGGCGAUGCGGUUAAUAACCGCGUCGAUUGACGUUACCCGCAGAAGAAGCACCGGCUAACUCCGUGCCAGCAGCCGCGGUAAUACGGAGGGUGCAAGCGUUAAUCGGAAUUACUGGGCGUAAAGCGCACGCAGGCGGUCUGUUAAGUCAGAUGUGAAAUCCCCCGGGCUUAACCUGGGAACUGCAUUUUGAAACUGGCAGGCUUGAGUCUUGUAGAGGGGGUAGAAUUCCAGGUGUAGCGGUGAAAUGCGUAGAGAUCUGGAGGAAUACCGGUGGCGAAGGCGGCCCCUGGGACAAAGCUGACGCUCAGGGUGCGAAAGCGUGGGGAGCAAACAGGAUUAGGAUACC
Molecule: ribosomal RNA, 456 nt
Filed under: uncultured bacterium
Lineage: Bacteria
Description: bacterial SSU rRNA
Rfam family: Bacterial small subunit ribosomal RNA
Source: RNAcentral